Molecule: long non-coding RNA, 3103 nt
Organism: Stylophora pistillata
Lineage: Eukaryota; Metazoa; Cnidaria; Anthozoa; Scleractinia; Pocilloporidae
Source: RefSeq, a predicted model, not a curated record
CUUUGAGAACGGUGAAUGCAAACUGCGUAUUCUGUUCCCAAAACAGGAGCAGAAACAGCGGGUUAAAUAACGGUUACCUUCAAGAACAUUUGUACUCUUAAUUGAUGGUGUUUGAAUUGGAAAAUAACCUCACAAGGAUGAAAGACUCUGAAUUGGAGACCACGUGUGAAGGUCAGGUCAACUGCCCACUGGAGGAAAGGAACAAACAUGAUCGUCAUUAUCACAACCUUUAUUUGAGCGCGAUAAUCUUGAAGAUUUUGGGUCCUGUCUGUAAUCUAUAAAAACUAAGCUGCAAACUGAGACUGAAUGCAUAAUAAAUGUUUGGGGUUAUACAGACAUCUUAAAACUAACCCUCAUUAUCACACCGCAAAGGAGAGUCUUUAAGAGGUAUCCUAAUAAGAAGUUAACUUUGAGGGCAGAAGAUUUAAAAGCCCUAGCGAAUAGCAGAAGUUGCACAGGCCUACCAACACCUCUUGCUUUCCGGCUUACCGGCGUGUUAACUUAUGUAAGGUACAGUUAUUCAUUGAUCAAUUUACUCCUUUUAUUACUCUAAUUGAACUUUCCUUCAUUUGGGGAUCAGGAUAGUAGAUUUACCAUAGUAUACACGCAAUAAGUUAGUUUGCCUUUACUGAGGAAAGUAAAUUUACAAGACCACUGGGUACCGUUACAUACAGUAACAUUAUGUAACGCAAUACACCAAACACAGUAAAUGUGGCACAGUGCUAUCUACUUAAAUGCAAUGCAUUCUGAUAAAAAGUGAUGAAAUUGAGAAUUCGCAGUUCCUUUAUAUUUGUCUUAAAUCCUGAUCAUGCUACUGCUCACUCACUACCCUGUGGCUGCACAGCAAUAACUUGAAUUACUAUAUACAAUCAUGCAUUUUGAUUGGAUCUUAUCUAUGAUUUAUUAGAGGACAGGGACAUUGAUGAUGCCAUCAAUAACAAAACUUGCUUUCUUGCUUAUUUAUAUAUAAUGCAAAAACACACUAAGCUUAUUUUUUGCUAUGUCACAUGUGGUUAUCCCUGAUAAAUCAUCUGCUUGGAUCCAGGUCCUGUGGACAUUCUAUUGCUGUCUCCUGUGAUCAAUCCUUGGUGGGUAGCCUGUGGAAAAGCCUUUUUAACACUCAGCUGAAUAUUUGAGGAAAUCCUUAGCUUCAUUUACAUUCCCUUUUGAUAUAAACUGUGCAAAAAGUCAACUACAAGGUACAUUAUGGUAUGAUGUCAUCAAAAAGACUUCUUUCAAAGUAAGUUGUGCGCCCAUCAUUUAAAAGCUUUGACAUUUCCUCCUCCCCCACCCUAAGGCAACAUGCAGCCCAUGGGCAUUCUACAGUUGGCCAUACCUAGGAGUUGGGAAUUGGAACCUUGCUCGUGUGGAGUGGGGAAUUUGACCAGAACUGGAAAGUCUUUCCAGGGCAAUGAACAUGUUUUAUCUUUUAAUAAGGAGGUGUUUAUUGGUCAAAAGUUCUCUUUCCCAAGCAGAUGACCCAGAAGAAAAGGUCUACAAAAAAAAGUCAUGGCUCCUUAUCUUGCCUUUUACAAAGAAAUGACAACAAAAUCCAGCACUUGGUUGGGGCAUUUGAACACAAAUUUUGCCCCGUGGGGUAAGAAUUUGAAAAAACCCAAUCAUAAAGUUCAAGUGCCUGGGGGGGUUGCCUGGUAGGGGGAAUGUUGAAGCUUUGAAUUGAUCAACAUACAUCUACAUGUAUUAAGUUCUCAUCUGUUGCAGAUUCAAUCCUUUUUAAUUCCCCAGUGCGAAUCUGUUGAACACUAGUUUUUGUUUUCAGACAAUCUUGGACUAAAUGUUCUGGACACCUUGGUUGUUUUUUACUUAAAACAUCAAUUUCAUUCUUAUUAACAUGUUGCUAUUAUUAUAAUAGUAAUGGAUUUAGCACUCAGAAAAUCAGCCAAUAGUGUCCUAAGCCAAAACUCGGCCAAUACUGUCCAAAAAAAAAAAAUCAGCCAUUACUGUCCAAAAUAAAAAAUUGGCUACUAGAGUUUAAAAUCAAAGAUCAGACCUUAGUGAUCCAAAUUGAAAACUAGCUUCUAGUGUCCAAAAUCCAAAACUAGUAUCCUAGUGUCCAAAAUAAAAAAUCAGCCCCUAGUGUCUAAAAUCAAAACUCACAUGCUAGCUCCAAAAUCAAAAAUUGCAAAUCUGCCAUUAGUGGCCAAAAUCGCAAAACAGUUAAUAGUGGCCAAAUUGCAAAAAUGGUUACUAGUGGCCAGAAUCAGAAAACGGUCACUAGUGGCCAAAAUCAUAAGUCGGCCACUAGUGACCAAAAUUGCAAAUCGGCUACUGGUGGCCAAAAUUGCAAAACAGCCACUAGUGGCCAAAAUUGCAAUACGGCCAUUAGUAGCUGAAAUCACUAAACGGCCACUAGUGGCCAAAAUUGCAAAAUUUCUUGAAAUUUUUUGUCUUCCAAGUACAAUUUUAUUUCAAAGGAUAUCUGAGAAGUUCAAACAAAAUAAAUGGAGGGGGCCAUUUUCAUAUUAUGACAAAAGAGUAGUACAAUGUGAAUUGUCAACAAAAGGAUUGCCACUUAAACAUGUAACGUAUAUAUACGUUUUGAGCAAAUACGAAAUACACUGAUGGGAAUGUGAGCUGCCAACUUCAGCUUUUUGGUACUUUCCACAUUUGACAAAUUAUUACUCGCAGAGAUUAUAUUUUCCUCACAUCCUCUCCCCACAGUAUCAUUUGAGUAUUGAUUUGAAUGUGUGAAUUGUGUGAUAAUUAUGUUUAAAUAUUAACUUUUAUUAACCUUAAACUGUUUCAGGAUGUUUAUUUGUAGAGCUCAGAGCUUAAUGUGACUGUGUGGUUGAAGGUUCUUUGAAUCACAGUUUGUGGCUGGACAAAUUGCUUCCUCAUGUUUCCUUGACAGUCCUAGCUCCUCACGGUUUAUGCCGAAAUGUUCAUUGGUCUUGAGGGAUGGCUUUCGGUGUGUAACAACGUCAGCAUUCAGCUCAACUGAUUCAAUCCAUGAAGUGACAGAAGUGGACUACUUUGGAGUCAUGUCCAUCUGACACAAACAAAGAAAGCCACACCUCAAGUCACAUUGAGACUUCCACGGCACACAACAAGGUCGUAUAUUUCUUCGAAGUGCAGGUUCCAA